Apodemus sylvaticus (European woodmouse) is the source of this 1172-nucleotide long non-coding RNA. RefSeq lists it as uncharacterized. NCBI's taxonomy places the organism in Eukaryota, Metazoa, Chordata, Mammalia, Rodentia, Muridae. The transcript has 2 exons. The record is from RefSeq and is a predicted model, not a curated record.
GGAGGGGAGGUCAUUGGAGGGCAGAGGAUGUAGCUGCCGUCAGGACAUGUGGCCGCCAAGAGCGGAAGGAUCGCACUGGGGGCUUCCGCAGGUAGUGGCCUUGAUGGAUUAGGGACGCUGGGACAGGAGCCAGGCAGCUUGAGGGUCUAAACAAGGGCUUGAAGAGGACAGAAGUGUCAGAGCCAUCCCCCACCUAUCCCUGGCACCCCCGGGGCUUCCAAGUGGAGCAAGCUGAGGACCCAGGGGUGGGAGGGGCCUGGUGCAGCUGUUGGCUCAGCUAAAGGUUUAAUCUCCAAAACAGGAAGGCGUGUAUUGACACAAGCCACAGCCACAGACGGAACUGGGCCUCAGGCUUGCCAGGUUCAGCUCCCGGCCCCCCUCUGCCUCGUGCAAGGAGCUCCUCAGGGCCUCUGCCUCCUAAAGCUGGUGUGCCCAGCUUCCGGGAGCACCCACCCAUAUCACACCUCAGGAUUAAGUACCUCUCAGACUUCGUGGGCUCCAGGAUGGGGGUGGGAGGUGGGAUCUCGAGGCGUGAGGUGCAGGAAGGUAGAGGCCCUCCCUCCCCCAGCCUCAUUUUAUAAAUAAGGAAACCACAGAGGGCUUGGAGAAGGAAGUGGGCCAACCUGGGUCAUAACUGGAUGAGUGGGGUGGGGGCGUCUCAACCUUACCUGGGUGUGGCUCUGUGUAAACACACACACACAGAGACACACACACACACACACUAUCUGCCCAGCAGAGGGUUGGAUCCCAGAGAGUCCCCCUGUCUUCUGUCUGGUACACUUGGAGGGAAGUUGGACCCGAGUUGCUAUGUUGACAGUGGCAGGUGACAAUACACGUACUCAGCAGAGGAAGCAGGCGACGAGGCAAGACCGUGUUUUCAGACCCCAAGAAAACGGGAUUCGAAACCGAAAGCCUGGACCAGUGGGGGAACAUGACACCUUUCUCCUGGGAAGAGCCUAGGACCUCGGUAGAUCACCAGACAGGAGAGGAUGGGUGGAGCCACACCUUGACCAAGCCUGCUGAGCUCUGCAUGACUCUGAUCCUCUAGUGAAUCCUCUGUCUCACUUCAGGACUCACAUGGACUUGGGGUGGGAUGAGGGGGAGUCACACAAUCUCUUUGCCUGUUUUCUCAAUGUAGAUACAUUGAAUAAACCUCCUUCUCCUGCUUUUUA